This 270-nucleotide long non-coding RNA is filed under the name Elaeis guineensis (African oil palm). Its description in RNAcentral is "long non-coding RNA (EGUI_LNC051111)". Lineage: Eukaryota; Viridiplantae; Streptophyta; Magnoliopsida; Arecales; Arecaceae. The record is from RNAcentral.
AUACUACCUACUCCCCAUCAUCAAAUGACAUCCAUAAACAGAUAAUCAAAAAGAAAAAAGAAAUUUUUCAAUAUGGAGACAAGCUCAGUUACUUUUCCUAAAAAGUAACUUCACCACCAAGCAACCAAGAAGAUGCUUCACCAAAAAAUCACCAACCAGGUGAUUCACCUCCAAAGUUAAUUAAUUACUUAGCCAGUAAGUUACUUUAGCAUGAAGUUGAUUUGCCACCAAGUUACUUCAUCAACAAGCAAAAUAACCACCUCAGCACCC